Molecule: long non-coding RNA, 521 nt
Organism: Malaya genurostris
Lineage: Eukaryota; Metazoa; Arthropoda; Insecta; Diptera; Culicidae
Exons: 3
Source: RefSeq, a predicted model, not a curated record
GGGUACCAGCACAAUCAAAUAUAGUCUAGAUGAACAACGUUGAGAAAAAUAAAUGGGUACUUUCCAACAUCGCUAAAAAGUUAAAUAUAUUAUCAAUGUAACGACGAUUAUUUUCAAAUAUUACACAAAGUCUGAUGAAAUCAGGCAUCCCUGCAAGCAGCUGAUCGGUGUUGACAAGUGAGGAGGAACCAACUAGUACAAAAACUUUUACAUAACACAAGGGGUGUACCGAAUAGUAAAUAGUUCGCGCAAUUCAACAAAGAAAACAUUGUUCGAGGAAAUAAUAACUUUCGAAGCAGUUGACGAAACUAUCUGCACUAUUCAAAUCGUUCGAAUUGUGCGAUACCAUAGUGAGUGCUUUUAGAGGAUAGAGAACAAUUUCAUAGUAGAGCUUUUAAAAAUUAUGGAACGAAAGGAUGUAAAGGAGUCAAUGCCGCAACUGUACUUAGCUGAGCGCACAUACAUUAUUAUAUAAAAAUUUAAUUUACAAUAAUAAAUCAAAAAUUCUUUUUUAAUAACAA